UACGUAGGUGGCAAGCGUUGUCCGGAUUUACUGGGCGUAAAGGAUGCGUAGGCGGACAUUUAAGUCAGAUGUGAAAUACCCGAGCUUAACUUGGGUGCUGCAUUUGAAACUGUGUGUCUAGAGUGCAGGAGAGGUAAGUGGAAUUCCUAGUGUAGCGGUGAAAUGCGUAGAGAUUAGGAAGAACACCAGUGGCGAAGGCGACUUACUGGACUGUAACUGACGCUGAGGCAUGAAAGCGUGGGGAGCAAACAGG
This 253-nucleotide ribosomal RNA is filed under the name uncultured bacterium. RNAcentral's name for it is "partial 16S ribosomal RNA". It matches the Rfam family "Bacterial small subunit ribosomal RNA", at positions 524 to 776 of the family's 1533-position model. The record is from RNAcentral.